UCCUACGGGAGGCAGCAGUGGGGAAUACUGGACAAUGGGGGCAACCCUGAUCCAGCCAUGCCGCGUGUGUGAAGAAGGCCCUCGGGUUGUAAAGCACUUUCAGCGAGGAAGAACGCCUAGCGGUUAAUACCCGCUAGGAAAGACAUCACUCGCAGAAGAAGCACCGGCUAACUCCGUGCCAGCAGCCGCGGUAAUACGGAGGGUGCAAGCGUUAAUCGGAAUUACUGGGCGUAAAGCGCGCGUAGGUGGCUUGAUAAGCCGGUUGUGAAAGCCCCGGGCUCAACCUGGGAACGGCAUCCGGAACUGUCAAGCUAGAGUGCAGGAGAGGAGGGUAGAAUUCCCGGUGUAGCGGUGAAAUGCGUAGAGAUCGGGAGGAAUACCAGUGGCGAAGGCGGCCUUCUGGACUGACACUGACACUGAGGUGCGAAAGCGUGGGUAGCAAACAGGAUUAGAUACCCUGGUAGUCCACGCCGUAAACGAUGUCGACCAGCCGUUGGGUGCCUAGCGCACUUUGUAGCGAAGUUAACGCGAUAAGUCGACCGCCUGGGGAGUACGGCCGCAAGGUUAAAACUCAAAUGAAUUGACGG
Molecule: ribosomal RNA, 587 nt
Filed under: uncultured bacterium
Lineage: Bacteria
Description: bacterial SSU rRNA
Rfam family: Bacterial small subunit ribosomal RNA
Source: RNAcentral